UCUAUCCUGAGUGGUGUAUAAAAAAAUAACUAGAAGGAAAAUCAAACGUCAAGACGCAUAUCUGCAAUUUUCUUUGUUUAGAAUUAGAUGACAACAGAAAUACCCAGAAAUCAUGAGAAACAGAGAGGUCAUGGUGCCUCCUUCGCCUAUUGCAUAUAUCUGGCCCAAUCUCUGAAAAUGUUGGGGAAAAGUAAAAAACUUUAGUGACCAAAAUGCAAAGGGUCGGUGUCCAAAAUUGGUAGCCCGAAGACGCGCUUUUGGUCCUUUUCAAGCCCAUGAAGGUAAACUUUCCUUCCUUCAGAAAAAAUAAAAAAUGCACCAACUUUGAUGCAGUUGCAGCCUCAUCCGAUGUCUUAUGCCAGACAGGGAAGAGCUGGUCUCGACUUCUUUCAACGUCUUCUCGACGUGUCUUCUUGUCAAAUGUUUGAGGAAGAUUCUUGUUUAUCUCAGUCUUUUUCGCUCCACGCUGGCCUCUCAUCAGCCAUCUUCCACGAAAUCGAUGAUGUUUUAAAUAUCUUAAUAGAAAUGGUAUUGCUUCUUACUUUUGGUCAACGGAAGAAGGAUACAAAGGACAAAAUCCACAACUUAGGGAAAGAGACGAGCAGCAGACGCAAGCACACCAUUAUGCUUAAAGAUGGCGAACAGUAGCAGAAUCUUAACAUCAAUGAGCUAUUAAACAUCCCAAGAGACAAAAGUUCAGACCCAUAGCACCAUUUGGAUUGGAACUAAACUUCCUGCUGCCCCAUCACAAGUUUCUGUAACCUGUUUCACCCUAGGAGUGACAACAUUCGAUUCCCAGAGAUUGAUGUUAUUGUCCAACAUCCAGUUCUAUCAGGAGAUGUGAGCCACAGAAUCUGAGCUAAGGCAAAGCGCACACCUUCUUGCUUUUGAUCUCACAAAAUCGUGCGUGCUCUCUCUCGCAUCUGGCAGGUGACUGCUGCUGUCUAGUGCUCUUGUUGUGUUUCCGGGCUUUUAUUAUCCCACAUCGGAAGAUGUGAAAAUAGGCGUGUGGACGGAGGUUAUAAAAGGAGAAGCGCGACACGUAAACAAGCAUACCUUUCUCGGCCUUUUGGCUAAGAUCAAGUGUAGUAUCUGUUCUUAUCAGUUUAAUAUCUGAUACGUGGGCCAAUGGCUCACACGAUAUUAAAUUAAUUUUUUUAGGGGGAGGGUCCGUAACAGUAGCUUGCUAUUGGGGCUCUAGAGCGUCGCCUUUGCGUUGCACUAAAGCAUUGGCCUGGCGCACCCCACCAA
Molecule: long non-coding RNA, 1251 nt
Organism: Populus nigra (black poplar)
Lineage: Eukaryota; Viridiplantae; Streptophyta; Magnoliopsida; Malpighiales; Salicaceae
Exons: 2
Source: RefSeq, a predicted model, not a curated record